GAUUUAUAAUAAUGUACAAAGGGAUGCAUAAAGGAUAACACAGACACCGAAUUUUAGAUAUGGGAGUGUUAAAAUCAAUGCUUCAUAUAGAGGUAUGUGUGCUCACUGUAAGGGCAGACCAACAGGAAUAUUGUCCUACUUUUGAACUGCCUUUCUUAGGAGGGGUGGUUCUUCCAGUUGCCAGAGAGAAAUUGUGGUAACUGGCAUGAGAGUGGGAACAGAGAUAUUCAAGGUAUCAGGUCAGGGGUCUCAAAGGACUUGGCUAAGUUGUGACCACUGAGAGAUGAAACACAGAUCUUUGGUAAUCUGAUGGCU
Small nucleolar RNA from Jaculus jaculus (lesser Egyptian jerboa), 315 nucleotides. The record is from Ensembl. NCBI's taxonomy places the organism in Eukaryota, Metazoa, Chordata, Mammalia, Rodentia, Dipodidae.